ACAUUGUUUUUUUUUUUUAACGCUGAUUUAUUAUGGCAUUACAAUUAUGAGAAAUAUUACAUAGACGAUUUGACAACCGAUAAUACUACUUGUCUUAUGAUGAUCUACGCCUAACUGCAUCACCUGAGCCGUCCUAUGAAGAUCCACGCCUGACUGGAUUUACUUGCACAAUGUUGAAGAUCCCUUGUAAGUCUUUCUUCCGUAGUCUGCAGUAAUAAAUCGCUCCCUCCGGGACUUGAAACCUGGAUUUCCUGUAUUCUGCAAUAAAUUUCAUAGUCUGGGAUUCGAACCCCAGACCUGGGUGUAGAAGCCUUUAAACCUUAACCAUUAGGC
Molecule: long non-coding RNA, 333 nt
Filed under: Brassica napus (rape)
Lineage: Eukaryota; Viridiplantae; Streptophyta; Magnoliopsida; Brassicales; Brassicaceae
Description: long non-coding RNA (BNAP_LNC011446)
Source: RNAcentral